RNAcentral lists this long non-coding RNA (399 nucleotides) under Helianthus annuus (common sunflower). Its description in RNAcentral is "sRNA HanXRQr2_Chr03g0125541". The record is from RNAcentral. Lineage: Eukaryota; Viridiplantae; Streptophyta; Magnoliopsida; Asterales; Asteraceae.
GCAGAAAAUGGACAGCUGCCUGUUCAGCCUGUUGCACCGCCUUAUUGAGAUGGUUUUCGAAACAAGGGACUUGCUAGGCAGUAUUUAGCCACAUAGGGACAUCUGGGAUGAUCUUGUAACUAACCUAGACUACCUUGGCAUGAUCUUGGACCCUAAGGUUCACUAUAUAAGAGCUUGAGUUAUGAACAUUUCAUUCAUUCAUUUUCAACUUUGCAUAAGUUCACUCCUGGAGCUCCUCUGGUCAGCAACAAAUAUUCUUAGCAUCCCUAAUCCUAAUUAGGACUCUUAUUGCUAGUUUAACUCUUUUAUACCCUUUAAAUGCCCAAAAUGCCCUUAUGAGGCGUAAAUAGGAGACCAGUAAAAGACACUUGCAUUUGCUUAUUGUGGUUUAUACUUGCU